This 509-nucleotide ribosomal RNA is filed under the name Philodytes umbrinus. Its description in RNAcentral is "partial 16S ribosomal RNA". The stretch from base 383 to 509 matches the Rfam family "Bacterial large subunit ribosomal RNA", at positions 2473 to 2600 of the family's 2925-position model. The record is from RNAcentral. Lineage: Eukaryota; Metazoa; Arthropoda; Insecta; Coleoptera; Dytiscidae.
GUCCUUUAGAAUAUAAUUUAAGGUCUAAUCUGCCCAGUGAUUUUAUUAAAUGGCCGCAGUAUUUUGACUGUGCAAAGGUAGCAUAAUCAUUAGUUUUUUAAUUGAAAGCUUGUAUGAAUGAUUGAACGAAAAAAAUUCUGUUUCUAUUUAAUUAAUUGAAUUUAAUUUUUUAGUUAAAAAGCUAAAAUUGAAUUAAAAGACGAGAAGACCCUAUAGAUCUUUAUAUAAUUAGGCAAAUUUUUUAUUUUGAUUUAUAAUUUAAUUUUUGGUUAAUUAUAUUUUAUUGGGGUAAUAAAAAGAUUAAAUUAAUUCUUUUUUUUUAUUUUAUUUAAUUAUAUAUUUAAGAUCCAAUAUUAUUGAAAUAUGAUUAAGUUACCUUAGGGAUAACAGCGUAAUUUUUUUAGAGAGUUCAUAUCGAUAAAAAAGUUUGCGACCUCGAUGUUGGAUUAAAAUAAACUUUAGGUGCAGAAUUUUAAAGUUUUGGUCUGUUCGACCAUUAAAUUUUUACA